This 483-nucleotide ribosomal RNA is filed under the name uncultured bacterium. RNAcentral describes it as "bacterial SSU rRNA". It matches the Rfam family "Bacterial small subunit ribosomal RNA", at positions 28 to 507 of the family's 1533-position model. The record is from RNAcentral.
GACGAACGCUGGCGGCGUGCCUAACACAUGCAAGUCGAGCGGAGUCGAUCGACGGAAGCCUUCGGGCGGAAGAUGGUUGACUUAGCGGCGGAUGGGUGAGUAACGCGUGGGCAACCUGCCUCGAAGACCGGGAUAACAGCCCGAAAGGGCUGCUAAUACCGGAUGUGGUCAAGGAUCCGCAUGGAUUUUUGAUUAAAGGGGAAACCCGUUUCGAGAUGGGCCCGCGUCCUAUCAGCUAGUUGGUGAGGUAAAAGCUCACCAAGGCGACGACGGGUAGCCGGCCUGAGAGGGUGACCGGCCACACUGGAACUGAGACACGGUCCAGACUCCUACGGGGGGCAGCAGUGGGGAAUCUUCCACAAUGGGCGAAAGCCUGAUGGAGCGACGCCGCGUGAGCGAAGAAGGCCUUCGGUUGUAAAGCUCUGUCUGGAGGGACGAAGGAAGUGACGGUACCUCCGGAGGAAGGCCACGGCUAACUACGUG